AAGCUCGUACCACAGACAUCUCUACCACAGACAACAUGAAGCUGAUCAUCCUCGCCUCCUUGGCCGUCGUGUCCCUGGCCGCCCCCAGGCCCGACAAACCCGUCCCAGCCCCCGCUCCCUCCUACGGCGCCCCCUCCCAGAGAUCCUUCGACCACUCCGCCGAAAACAUAGCCAUCCUCCGCGACGAGAGGCAGAUGUCUGACGACGCCAGCAGCUACAACUUCGCCAUCGAGACUGAGGACGGAAUCCAACGCGAGGAAUUCGGUUCUGCCAAUCGACGACGGAAGCGCUGAAGGAGCCGUCGCUCAGAGCGGCAAGGUCUCCUUCACCCUCCCCGACGGCCAACAGUUCGAGCUGACCUUCGUGGCUGACGAGAAUGGCUUCCAGCCCCAGUCUUCCUUCCUGCCAGUCGCUCCCGAAUUCCCCCACGAGAUUCCCCAGUUCGUCCUCGACCAGAUCGAAAAGGCAAGACGCGAGGACGAGGAAGCUGCCCGCUCCGGCCCACGAAGCAGCGGUGGACCAUCCAACAGCUACCAGGCCCCAUCCAACAGCUAUCAGGCCCCUUUGUAAGCAGCUUCAUUCCAGGGCUACCGGGCCCUUGAUCAGCUUCACGUCUUACUAAUCUCCAACGAACGACUUGCACUCGAGCUCCCGAAACCUAUUUUAUCAACAUAUUUAUUCUGAGACACCAGAAACUGGUAAGAUCUUUGUAAAUUAUGUAAAUAAAAAGAACGAUUAA
Long non-coding RNA from Macrobrachium nipponense, 739 nucleotides. RefSeq lists it as uncharacterized. NCBI's taxonomy places the organism in Eukaryota, Metazoa, Arthropoda, Malacostraca, Decapoda, Palaemonidae. The transcript has 3 exons. The record is from RefSeq and is a predicted model, not a curated record.